RNAcentral lists this ribosomal RNA (343 nucleotides) under Brachionus sp. SP-2007a. RNAcentral's name for it is "partial 16S ribosomal RNA". Lineage: Eukaryota; Metazoa; Rotifera; Eurotatoria; Ploima; Brachionidae. The record is from RNAcentral.
CAAAGUAUCUUCUGCCCACUGAUAUCAUUAAAUGGCCGCAGUACCCUGACUGUGCUAAGGUAGCGAGUGUCUUGUUUUCUUAAUUAGAAAUCUGUUCAAAGAAUGAAAUGAAGAGAAUCUAUUGUUUCUAUAUAAAGUUAACUUAAAAUGUUAGUGAAAAUUCUGACUAGUUCUUAAAAGACGAGAAGACCCCAUAAAACUUAAUUUGAUCUCUUUACCAAGUGUUUAAAAUUUAAAUGGGGACUUUCGAGUAUACUAAUAACUCAAAGACCUAUAUUUAUAUUAUUAGCGAAGCUACUUUGGGGAUAACCAGGGUAAAAUAUUUAGAGAGUUCAUAUCGAUA